GGGGCUGCCUGGGCCGGGCCUGCCCGGCUCGGGGAGCGCUGAGGGAAAGCAGCGGGACGCGAGGGGCAGGAGGAGGGCGGAGAGCGGCCAGCAAGCCGGGAGAGGUGAUUGUCCCUCUCGUCUCUGGUGAGACCCUCCCUGCCUGGCCUUCCGCGUCCGGCUGUGUGGGCCCCAGCACAGGAAAGGCAUGGACGUGUUGGAGCCAGCUCAGAGGAGGGACACCAGGGUACACUGGUCAUACAUCUAAGUGCUUUUGAAUGGGAAGCUUUAUUGAUAUUGAAAGCAAGCUCUCUACACAAAGGACCCUGUGUAAUAUAAAAGCUGAGGAAGUUACAGCAGCUGACUGGAAAGCUACUGACACUCACAGAAAGGAUGGCCAGACUUUGCAAACCCAUUUCUGACAGUGCACAAAUAAACAACUGAGGGUGGAUUUAACAAUGCAGACAAUAUUAAUCCUUCUCCAUUCCUGCUGUCUUGAAGAUCUGAAAGGUACAUCAGCAUCACUGCCUGCGGAGUAAGGAAACUACUCAGGGCUUCUUGGAAGGUGAACUCACUAUGUGCCACUCAGCUCAGUUUCAAGUUGGCUUGAGCCCUACACUAUAUUAAUACCUACAAUCCUCUCUCUUCUAUGGGGGAGAACAACAGAGAUGAUGAUCUAUCUAUGCCAAAAGGCAAUGGUCUUGUGGUGAUGGCACAGACUGUGGUGUGAAAUAGCAAAAGAAGAUGGAAGAGAAAACCCACAGGCUUUUGAACACAGGAAUUUUUCUUUUCCAUCAUUCAUUUUGGGUAGCUGAAAACACGGAGUUUCUGAGCAGGAUAUUUUCAUGUGCUGGUUUUGUUUUGUGGGUUUUCUGAAAGAAUAGUGUAGGAAGUUAUGUUAACAAGAAACAAACCCAUUUUUUCCUGUCAAAGGGGAUAGGCAUUUAAUCCCUGAAGUGAUUCUAAAGGUCAGUGAAGAUACAUUGAUGCUCUUUCAACCUGCAAGUAAGUAAUUGCUUGGGUCUGCCAAAGAACCAAGUAGGUUUACACAUAUCUAUAUAUUCAGUUAGUUAGUCAAGUAUUUCCGGUUGAUUAGUGCCUAAAAUACUAUCUGGCUGCUUUCUCUUAAAUAACUCAAAUAGUCCAUCCUGUUAGAACUACUCUGAGCUUCAUCACAGUGAUCACACCUGCAUACAAAUGUAGAAUUUGCUUGCUAAAGUGAACCCAAAAAUACCUCUUGUAAGAACAAUAACAACAGCAGUUCAAGCUUGGCCAGGACUCAGAACAUGCCAAGAGCACAAGUCUCAUGAACAGAUUGUCUCCAAAGGCUUAAGAGAACAUUGUGGGAAAGAUGAAAUCAUAUGAAGACAAGAGAGGGAACUGCAUUUCUUACGUGUCCCCUUUCUUGUGAUAAAUGUAAUGUAACACUAACUAAUGAUUUAGACUGUUUACUCUUACUGUAACAGAAUAAAAUCGUGUUCAGGCAGAGUCCACCUUUCCCUUUCAGUGCUGUGUUUCCUCGGCUAGUUCUUGGCCCAGCUGGAGAAGUGGCAGGACAUGUCACAUACAUAUGGACAUUAUGUGGCUGGCUGGGUGUUUUUCCCCCCCAUGUUGUUUAAGCAGGCUUAGAGCAGUCCUGAAGAGCAUUAACAUGCUGCCUCUGACAGCUGAGAGUGUUUUGCCACAGGUGUAGUUUUCCCCAGAGGACUCUGAGUCUGAAUGCUGAAGAGGGAAGAGAACAGACGUCCUUUGUUGUCCUUGAUUGGAAAGGGGUGUGUAGCACUCAGCAGAGGGUUUAUUUAACAGCUUGCUUGUAUCCACGGGGCGGUAUCAAACAGUAAAAUAUUGGUAAGAAAUAAGUUUAGCGGGGCAUUCUACUUUCACACUGCCCAGCAAUAAACUGUAAAAAUCAUCCCUGAAAUACGCCUGCUGUGAUGAAGAGUUACAAGUGGGUUAUAAUUCACCAGACAUUUCUAAAAGCAGUGAUAUGCAAGAGGAAGACAGACCACUGCAGCAGAUGAUGUAGGAGUAGAGAGAUUACUGAGUAGGAGAAGCUAGAAGGAGAAAUUACUUCUCGUGACACCAGGGAGGCACGUUUCAAACUUGGCUUAUAAUUGUAUGUACUUUACCUGUCUCUGAAAUUCUCUGACGUAUAUUAAUGUUACAACAAUCUAUAUGAACAAAAUGGGCAGCAUGCCAAAGGGGGCUGUAAUUUUCAAGUACCUCCGUAUUGUUAUUGGAGUGGGGAGGAGGAUAUCCACUAACAGUGUAAUUAUGUGGCAAUUCCAGGGAAAUUGAUUAUUAUUAGCUUUUUAUGAUCACACUAACAAAGUCAAUGAUCCAAGAUAAAAUAGCAAAAAUCAGUGCUUGAACAAUAUUCAGCAACAAGGUAUCACCAGGUGAGAGUGGAUGCAUCUGAAACCAGAUAAUUCCUGAAAGGGAAAUGGCCAUCUCCCACCAAUUAUAACGAUGGAUGUGCUCUAUUAAAGCCUGAUCCACUUUAACGGGGGGCUCCCAGCCUGAGAGGCCACGUAAGUAUGCAAUGACACAUACAGGAUCGAGAAGUGGGUGGGUGUUUAUUCUAAAUACCCACAUCACUGGGGUAUUUGCACUUUUAACCAACAGAGAGAAUUACAGGUAGUGAAUACAGAUCGAUUUCUACCAGUUGGUUAUUGCUUUAACAAAAUCUUUUGUCAUUUUUUCUAACAUCCGCCUUCAGUCCCCCAAACACAGCAUGGAGACUGGUACCUGCAUAGUCAGAACUAUCACUUGUCAGCCAUGUCUUCCCCUUUGAGGCUUCAUGGUUUUAUAUAUAAUAAUUAAAAACACUUCUCUGAGAUGGGAGAAGGCUUUUCUAAAAGGACAGCAAGUUGCUGCAAUACAAUAGCAUAUUAUUUUUGAAGGUCAUAAUAAUAAAGUAGGGGAAAGAGAAUAAUCAUUAUUGCUCUUUCUUGUAAAUAGUUUGCUUUCCGAUAUCCCACACUGUAACUAGAACACUAUUCAAGAACACCCAUCACAGUGCUUAACAAGAUUUAAUGUACAUUUAUUCUUAACAUGUGGAACAUAUAAAGAUUUUAUACUGAAUAAAUGAAAUUCAUUAAGCCAGAGGAAAAGGAGGAAUUUACAUCAAGUUUUUUCUUUUUUAACUACAUUAUCUUGAAAUACAAAUGCAGAUUCUUGUCACUGAAAAAUCUUUGAAGUUGUGUUUCUUCCUUUUUUUUUUUUUCCUGUAUAUAUUUUUUUGUCUGUAGACUGGUAACCAUUUUCUUAAAUCAAUCCAUACGUAACCAUUUCCACACCUUGAUUUAUAAAGCAAAUUGUGAUCGGCUGCUCUCCCGAAAUAGAGCAUGACUUUAUACAUACAGAAACUUGUACAUUACCCUCAGUUGUUGGUUUUCUGUGUUGGGUUUUUUUCUUUUUUCUUUUUUUUUUUUAUUAUUUUUUGGAGAUAUGGCCCAAAUGAAAGAAAAAAUAAUUCUACUAUCACUUUGUAGAUACCACAUCAUGAAAAAGAAACUAAAAACUUUGUACUAAAAAAAAAAAAAA
Molecule: non-coding RNA, 3525 nt
Organism: Cyanistes caeruleus (blue tit)
Lineage: Eukaryota; Metazoa; Chordata; Aves; Passeriformes; Paridae
Source: RefSeq, a predicted model, not a curated record